RNAcentral lists this ribosomal RNA (336 nucleotides) under Nyikoa limbe. RNAcentral describes it as "SSU rRNA". It matches the Rfam family "Eukaryotic small subunit ribosomal RNA", at positions 1492 to 1824 of the family's 1831-position model. Lineage: Eukaryota; Metazoa; Arthropoda; Arachnida; Araneae; Pholcidae. The record is from RNAcentral.
YUAGAUGUCCGGGGCCGCACGCGCGCUACACUGAAGGAAUCAGCGUGUGYUUUCCCUGUCCGGAAGGACUGGGUAAYCCGCUGAACCUCCUUCGUGAUAGGGAUAGGGGYUUGUAAUURUUCCCCUUGAACGAGGAAUUCCCAGUAAGCACGAGUCAUAAGCUCGUGUUGAUUACGUCCCUGCKCCUUGUACACACCGCCCGUCGCUACUACCGAUUGAAUGAUUUAGUGAGGUCUUCGGACUGGCGCUCGGAGCGGCCUUCCGGCCGGGCCGACGUGCCGGAAAGAUGACCAAACUUGAUCAUUUAGAGGAAGUAAAAGUCGUAACAAGGUUUCC